Paramuricea clavata is the source of this 221-nucleotide non-coding RNA. The record is from the annotation of a GenBank genome assembly. Lineage: Eukaryota; Metazoa; Cnidaria; Anthozoa; Malacalcyonacea; Plexauridae.
GUCAACGAUUGCCCAGCCAUAGGGCCCACUUAGCGAGGUCACACUUCGCUAGUAUAAGGUAUAAAGUAUAAAAUAUAGCGAGUUCACACAUCCCUGGCAAGUUUGGUACAGGUACAUCGAGUUCACAAUUCACUGCUUUUUGAAAAACAUAAUAUGAACGGCCCCUUUUGAUUUGAUUUGACCAAAUAAUCGCCAUGAACACACGCCAAAUUAUAUACACC